GGCGCGGUAGCUCAGUGGUAGAGCAAUGGACUGAAAAUCCAUGUGUCCUUGGUUCAAUUCCAAGUCGCGCCA
Molecule: non-coding RNA, 72 nt
Organism: Porphyromonas sp. HMSC065F10
Lineage: Bacteria; Pseudomonadati; Bacteroidota; Bacteroidia; Bacteroidales; Porphyromonadaceae
Source: Rfam